GACGAACGCUGGCGGCGUGCUUAACACAUGCAAGUCGAACGGUAAGGCCCUUCGGGGUACACGAGUGGCGAACGGGUGAGUAACACGUGGGUGAUCUGCCCUGCACUUCGGGAUAAGCCUGGGAAACUGGGUCUAAUACCGGAUAGGACUCCGGACUGCAUGGUCUGGGGUGGAAAGCUUUUGCGGUGUGGGAUGGGCCCGCGGCCUCUCAGCUUGUUGGUGGGGUGAUGGCCUACCAAGGCGACGACGGGUAGCCGGCCUGAGAGGGUGACCGGCCACACUGGGACUGGGGUACGGGCCAGACUCCUACGGGAGGCAGCAGUGGGGAAUAUUGCACAAUGGGCGCAAGCCUGAUGCAGCGACGCCGCGUGAGGGAUGACGGCCUUCGGGUUGUAAACCUCUUUCAGCACAGACGAAGCGCAAGUGACGGUAUGUGCAGAAGAAGGACCGGCCAACUACGUGCCAGCAGCCGCAGUAA
Molecule: ribosomal RNA, 478 nt
Filed under: uncultured bacterium
Lineage: Bacteria
Description: partial 16S ribosomal RNA
Rfam family: Bacterial small subunit ribosomal RNA
Source: RNAcentral